Molecule: ribosomal RNA, 429 nt
Filed under: Chloroflexota bacterium
Lineage: Bacteria; Bacillati; Chloroflexota
Description: Chloroflexi bacterium partial 16S ribosomal RNA
Rfam family: Bacterial small subunit ribosomal RNA
Source: RNAcentral
UGGGGAAUAUUGCACAAUGGGCGCAAGCCUGAUGCAGCCAUGCCGCGUGUAUGAAGAAGGCCUUCGGGUUGUAAAGCACUUUCAGCGGGGAGGAAGGCGAUAAGGUUAAUAACCUCAUCGAUUGACGCUACCCGCAGAAGAAGCACCGGCUAACUCCGUGCCAGCCGCCGCGGUAAUACGGAGGGUGCAAGCGUUAAUCGGAAUUACUGGGCGUAAAGCGCACGCAGGCGGUCUGUCAAGUCGGAUGUGAAAUCCCCGGGCUCAACCUGGGAACUGCAUUCGAAACUGGUAGGCUAGAGUGUUGUAGAGGUGGGUAGAAUUCCAGGUGUAGCGGUGAAAUGCGUAGAGAUCUGGAGGAAUACCGGUGGCGAAGGCGGCCCCCUGGACAAAGACUGACGCUGAGGUGCGAAAGCGUGGGGAGCAAACAGG